Molecule: ribosomal RNA, 497 nt
Filed under: uncultured bacterium
Lineage: Bacteria
Description: partial 16S ribosomal RNA
Rfam family: Bacterial small subunit ribosomal RNA
Source: RNAcentral
GAUGAACGCUGGCGGCGUGCCUAAUACAUGCAAGUCGAGCGAACAGAUGAGGAGCUUGCUCCUCUGACGUUAGCGGCGGACGGGUGAGUAACACGUGGAUAACCUACCUAUAAGACUGGGAUAACUUCGGGAAACCGGAGCUAAUACCGGAUAAUAUAUUGAACCGCAUGGUUCAAUAGUGAAAGACGGUUUUGCUGUCACUUAUAGAUGGAUCCGUGCCGCAUUAGCUAGUUGGUAAGGUAACGGCUUACCAAGGCAACGAUGCGUAGCCGACCUGAGAGGAUGAUCAGCCACACUGGAACUGAGACACGGUCCAGACUCCUACGGGAGGCAGCAGUAGGGAAUCUUCCGCAAUGGGCGAAAGCCUGACGGAGCAACGCCGCGUGAGUGAUGAAGGUCUUCGGAUCGUAAAACUCUGUUAUUAGGGAAGAACAACUGUGUAAGUAACUAUGCACGUCUUGACGGUACCUAAUCAGAAAGCCCCGGCUAACUACGUG